Molecule: ribosomal RNA, 650 nt
Filed under: uncultured bacterium
Lineage: Bacteria
Description: bacterial SSU rRNA
Rfam family: Bacterial small subunit ribosomal RNA
Source: RNAcentral
GGGGGACUUCGGGGUAGUGGCGCACGGGUGCGUACGCGUGGGAACCUGCCUUUAGGUUCGGAAUAACUCAGAGAAAUUUGAGCUAAUACCGGAUAAUGUCUUCGGACCAAAGAUUUAUCGCCUUUAGAUGGGCCCGCGUUAGAUUAGAUAGUUGGUGGGGUAAUGGCCUACCAAGUCGACGAUCUAUAGCUGGUCUGAGGGGAUGAUCAGCCACACUGGGACUGAGACACGGCCCAGACUCCUACGGGUGGCAGCAGUGGGGAAUAUUGGACAAUGGGCGAAAGCCUGAUCCAGCAAUGCCGCGUGAGUGAUGAAGGCCUUAGGGUUGUAAAGCUCUUUUACUAGGGAUGAUAAUGACAGUACCUAGAGAAUAAGCUCCGGCUAACUCCGUGCCAGCAGCCGCGGUAAUACGGAGGGAGCUAGCGUUGUUCGGAAUUACUGGGCGUAAAGCGCGCGUAGGCGGUUUUUCAAGUCAGGGGUGAAAUCCCGGAGCUCAACUCCGGAACUGCCCUUGAAACUGGACGACUAGAAUCCUGGGGAGGCGAGUGGAAUUCCGAGUGUAGAGGUGAAAUUCGUAGAUAUUCGGAAGAACACCAGUGGCGAAGGCGACUCGCUGGACAGGUAUUGACGCUGAGGUGCGAAAGCGUGGG